Long non-coding RNA from Lolium rigidum, 638 nucleotides. RefSeq lists it as uncharacterized. The transcript is spliced from 2 exons. Lineage: Eukaryota; Viridiplantae; Streptophyta; Magnoliopsida; Poales; Poaceae. The record is from RefSeq and is a predicted model, not a curated record.
AAUCCCUACCCUGGAAACUCAUCUGUACCAGAUCGGCUCAUGGCCUCAAUUUCGCCAUGCCGCCGACCAAGGGCGGCGAGACCAUAAACGUCGUCCAUCCAUCCUCAAAGAUCCACAAGACCCUCUGAUGGCGCAGGGAAACUGAAUGCCUUCGGCACCGCCACCGCCGUUGGCGAGCUCUUGCCGGAAGAGGCGCUGAGAGCUGAGCUCGACCUCACGCCCAGCGGCGUCCCAUCGCUGCUGCAGGUGACGACCUAUCGACCUCAAAAUCACCUCCGGCCUUGUUCGAUUUCAGGCCAUUAAGUAAGUCGUCUACCUUUUCUAGAAAACCAGUAGUCUAUAACAACUGCAGAUUAUAAUGACUGAUAUUGGUCAGGAGAUGGUGUCUGCUUGUAUUCAACUUGCUCUGGCUUGGGCAAGAUUCUUCAGUCCGAUUGUUCUUCGGUGGUGUCAUCAAUCAAAAAAUAAGCUGUGAUGUCUCUGUAUGUACCAGUCACAAAGAAAUUAGCUUGUUCCAUGAUGUACUUUGUGAUGUUCGAGUGAAUAAAGUUGGCAUCCUAAAUAUGGGUGUAGGUAGUGUAUGCUUGUAAAUGACUGUCUGUUCAUGAAUAAAGUUAUCGCUGUGAAGGCAAGCCAAA